RNAcentral lists this ribosomal RNA (468 nucleotides) under uncultured bacterium. RNAcentral's name for it is "partial 16S ribosomal RNA". It matches the Rfam family "Bacterial small subunit ribosomal RNA", at positions 28 to 507 of the family's 1533-position model. The record is from RNAcentral.
GACGAACGCUGGCGGCGUGCUUAACACAUGCAAGUCGAACGGAAAGGCCCUGCUUUUGUGGGGUGCUCGAGUGGCGAACGGGUGAGUAACACGUGAGUAACCUGCCCUUGACUUUGGGAUAACUUCAGGAAACUGGGGCUAAUACCGGAUAGGAGCUCCUGCUGCAUGGUGGGGGUUGGAAAGUUUCGGCGGUUGGGGAUGGACUCGCGGCUUAUCAGCUUGUUGGUGGGGUAGUGGCUUACCAAGGCUUUGACGGGUAGCCGGCCUGAGAGGGUGACCGGCCACAUUGGGACUGAGAGAGGGCCCAGACUCCUACGGGAGGCAGCAGUGGGGAAUAUUGCACAAUGGGCGGAAGCCUGAUGCAGCAACGCCGCGUGCGGGAUGACGGCCUUCGGGUUGUAAACCGCUUUCGCCUGUGACGAAGCGUGAGUGACGGUAAUGGGUAAAGAAGCACCGGCUAACUACGUG